GCACUAUGCUUUGGCAGUACAUAUACUAUUGGAAUGACACAGAGAUUAGCAUGGCCCCUGCUCAAGGAUGACACACAAAUUCAUGAAGCCUUCCAUAAUUUU
RNAcentral lists this small nuclear RNA (102 nucleotides) under Chinchilla lanigera (long-tailed chinchilla). Lineage: Eukaryota; Metazoa; Chordata; Mammalia; Rodentia; Chinchillidae. The record is from RNAcentral.